UUGAGCAAUGAUGAGUAUACAGUCCUGUAAUGAUUUGUGGUGAUGAUCGCAAUUUUUUAUGAACAUCUAAGGGACUGUGCCCUC
This is a small nucleolar RNA of Manihot esculenta (cassava), 84 nucleotides long. RefSeq annotates it as small nucleolar RNA SNORD25. The record is from RefSeq and is a predicted model, not a curated record. The transcript has a single exon. Lineage: Eukaryota; Viridiplantae; Streptophyta; Magnoliopsida; Malpighiales; Euphorbiaceae.